AGAGGAAGGCGGGGAGGGGAGGCCGGUCCCCCCCCCCCGAGCUCGCUCUAGCGGCGGGCGAGACGGGAGCCGCCGCGAGCCAAGGCAGCAGCCGCUGCUGCAGCCUCCGCCGCCGCUGGGAUGCUAGCUGGCUGGCAAGCGAGCGAGCGAGCGAGCCCGGAGGACGCCUGGGCUCCUCUCCUGCCUCCCUGCCUGCAGGCGAGCGAGCGAGCCAGCGAGCGACACUAGUGCUACAAUUCUGUCACUCUUUCCCUUACACCAGACAUGUCAAACUUGCGACGUCACGUGACAUCACGCAACGUAUCGGGACAGUUUUGCCAUUGCUGGAAAUGGGGUGGGCGCAGCUUCCAUGUGACACGUUCCACCCAUGGGCCGACAGUUUUACACCCCUGCCUUACACACUGUGAUGUAAGCUUUUCCCCUUUUGUGUAUGCAUUCUGACAUUGCAUGAAAUCAGCAGAGCUUUCUUCGGGAUGACACAAUGCUACGUUCAUCAUUUUGUCAAAAGGAACCAGAACCAGAACAAUAUGAUGAUGGCUCUUGUCAAUGAUUGACUUUUCAGUCCAUUAGAAGAUGUGAGCGUUCAGCAUCAACACUUUGUGAUUACAACUGAAGACAAUGCUUUUGACCUGUCUUUUUCCCGCCUUCUUAAACAACCUGCAUCUACUUUGAACCCCCCAAAAAAUCUUCAUUUGCAUCACUACAAUGUUCCUACUAUGACGACACCUGUUCAGCAUCACGGCUGCAACACAGUCUCUCUAUAGUAUUAUGCUCCUGCCAUGGUGAAAUUCCCAGCAGUCUACAGUGGAAUGUGUGGACAACCUUGGGGGACCGGGAGCAGAGAUGCUACCUUGGAAACCAUCAGACAGAAGAAACAGGAUCCCCCCAAAGAUUAACAGUCAAAGGAAGAAAGUUAGGAAGGAUCUGCCCUAAUGGAUCAAACAGCUCUAUGUGGCGUGGGAAGUUUAUAUUUUGAGAUUUGCAAGCUUCUGUUAAUGUAGCUUUACAAUAAAGUAAAACCAGCCAAUCUA
This is a long non-coding RNA of Crotalus tigris (Tiger rattlesnake), 1031 nucleotides long. RefSeq lists it as uncharacterized. NCBI's taxonomy places the organism in Eukaryota, Metazoa, Chordata, Lepidosauria, Squamata, Viperidae. The transcript has 3 exons. The record is from RefSeq and is a predicted model, not a curated record.